AUCGCUUCUCGGCCUUUUGGCUAAGAUCAAGUGUAGUAUCUGUUCUUAUCAGUUUAAUAUCUGAUACGUCCUCUAUCCGAGGACAAUAUAUUAUAAAAGAGCACACUACAGGGAUACUGCCACAUCGAUGUUCAUAGCAGCACAAUUCACAAUUGCAAGACUGUGGAACCAACCCAGA
This 178-nucleotide small nuclear RNA is filed under the name Spermophilus dauricus (Daurian ground squirrel). RNAcentral's name for it is "U2 spliceosomal RNA (ENSSDAG00000006825.1)". The stretch from base 1 to 109 matches the Rfam family "U2 spliceosomal RNA". From Rfam's summary of the family: U2 is a small nuclear RNA (snRNA) component of the spliceosome (involved in pre-mRNA splicing). The record is from RNAcentral. Lineage: Eukaryota; Metazoa; Chordata; Mammalia; Rodentia; Sciuridae.